Long non-coding RNA from Venturia canescens, 554 nucleotides. RefSeq lists it as uncharacterized. The record is from RefSeq and is a predicted model, not a curated record. Lineage: Eukaryota; Metazoa; Arthropoda; Insecta; Hymenoptera; Ichneumonidae. The transcript is spliced from 2 exons.
CCCUAUAAUUCGAAUCAGCAGCGUUCGUUUGAAAACUUCUUAAAAAAUUGACAGAUGGCGCUAAUUGCUGCGACCAGCACCCGGUACCAGCUGAGGUUGAGUGGUUAUAUUCAAUAAAAGGAAAACCGAUAAUUAUGGAACGUGAGUACGCUUCAAAAAUGACAACCAAUUUUUUUUUUCGCCAUUACAUUCCCGGUUCCAUUAGUCAGUAAUACACUGCGUCAAAGGGAAUUGACAUUAUCCUUUUUGCACCUGCGUUGAGAUCUGAAAAAUUAAAAAAAAAAAAGCUAUCUAGAGUACAAUGUACACAACACACACACGCGUAAAAUUUUAUUGCAAAAAGAAAAAACAAUUUUAUAUAGUCACAAUAAUAUUUAUUCUGGCGUGUUAAUUUGCACUCGUAGAUGAUCACGUCGAUACAGUCAGGAAACACAGAGGUUGUAGGUUGUCUGAUGUAACAUUAAAUGUGUAAAUAUAAUAUUUAUAAUAUAAUAGUACAUUUUUGAGUUACACUUGUUAACUAAAAAUAAAAUAAUACUCGAAAAAGUUAAAAU